This 262-nucleotide unclassified non-coding RNA is filed under the name Hevea brasiliensis (rubber tree). Lineage: Eukaryota; Viridiplantae; Streptophyta; Magnoliopsida; Malpighiales; Euphorbiaceae. The record is from RNAcentral.
AGAAGCAGCAGGAUGAGAGAAGUGGUAGCCCUGUACAGCUUUCUAAGUUUUUAGGGCGUGACAAGGACGAUGGUGUGCGUCGCAGCGCAGUUUCGGGGAAAAAGAUCUUAUUGAAACUUGAGAAAUCAAAGGAGGACAAGGAGGCAGAAAGUAAAAGGAAUGAAUUGCUGAAAUUCUUGAAUGCUAGUUUUGAUUGAUUUAGAGGAGCUCUACAACAAGAUUCUAAGAUCAACUGGUGAAUCAUCAGAAUCAUCUUGUGCUU